This 72-nucleotide transfer RNA is filed under the name Alienimonas chondri. RNAcentral describes it as "tRNA-Gly". It matches the Rfam family "tRNA". Rfam says of the family: Transfer RNA (tRNA) molecules are approximately 80 nucleotides in length. Their secondary structure includes four short double-helical elements and three loops (D, anti-codon, and T loops). Further hydrogen bonds mediate the characteristic L-shaped molecular structure. tRNAs have two regions of fundamental functional importance: the anti-codon, which is responsible for specific mRNA codon recognition, and the 3' end, to which the tRNAs corresponding amino acid is attached (by aminoacyl-tRNA synthetases). tRNAs cope with the degeneracy of the genetic code in two manners: having more than one tRNA (with a specific anti-codon) for a particular amino acid; and 'wobble' base-pairing, i.e. permitting non-standard base-pairing at the 3rd anti-codon position. Lineage: Bacteria; Pseudomonadati; Planctomycetota; Planctomycetia; Planctomycetales; Planctomycetaceae. The record is from RNAcentral.
GCGGGUGUAGCUCAAUGGUAGAGCACUAGCCUUCCAAGCUUGUGAUGAGGGUUCGAUUCCCUUCACCCGCUC